This 493-nucleotide long non-coding RNA is filed under the name Dromaius novaehollandiae (emu). RNAcentral's name for it is "lncRNA (ENSDNVG00000000220.1)". The record is from RNAcentral. Lineage: Eukaryota; Metazoa; Chordata; Aves; Casuariiformes; Dromaiidae.
ACUGAACUGAGUGAAAUGAAAUAUAAAUUGACAUGAAGAAAAUGUUCUCUUUGCAGCUAUGGAAGCAGCUAUACUUGUCCAAAGGUGAUUUUUAUCACUUCAGCAAACAGUAGUUUGGGUCACUAAUCACAUCAUCCCAUUCAGUGGCUGGACUUUCUAUAAAACUUUGGCAUAAAGGAACACGUUUGUGGUGAAUGGGGCAUCUUAAGCCGGUAUCCAUUUGAAAUAUCUGGAUGCUUUUAAAGAAGACCUGAAGGACCUCAUUGUUAGAGACAAACCCUCAGUAUAGCUUCCAAGAAAAUGUGCUUCCCUCACCUGGCUGCAAGAAGAGCUAUGCUGAGACUGAUGCAGAGGCCAUACAUGCAGAAGAAUGAAUACAAAUUGGUUUUGGCAGAACUGGUCUUACACAGAUUCCCGCUGUGUCCACACUCUUAGUUCAGGGAGGCUUUCAGCUGCUGCCCUGGAUUAGACCUGGUGCCCUUGUAGUUCUGUU